CCUACGGGAGGCAGCAGUGGGGAAUAUUGCACAAUGGGGGGAACCCUGAUGCAGCGACGCCGCGUGGGUGAGGAAGUACUUCGGUAUGUAAAGCUCUAUCAGCAGGGAAGAAAAUGACGGUACCUGACUAAGAAGCCCCGGCUAACUACGUGCCAGCAGCCGCGGUAAUACGUAGGGGGCAAGCGUUAUCCGGAUUUACUGGGUGUAACGGGAGCGUAGACGGCAUGCCAAGUCUGGUGUGAAAGGCCGGGGCUCAACCCCGGGACUGCCUUGGAAACUGGCAUGCUGGAGUGUCGGAGGGGCAAGCGGAAUUCCUGGUGUAGCGGUGAAAUGCGUAGAUAUUAGGAGGAACACCGGUGGCGAAGGCGGCUUGCUGGACGAUAACUGACGUUGAGGCUCGAAAGCGUGGGGAGCAAACAGGAUUAGAUACCCUAGUAGUC
This 440-nucleotide ribosomal RNA is filed under the name uncultured bacterium. RNAcentral's name for it is "partial 16S ribosomal RNA". It matches the Rfam family "Bacterial small subunit ribosomal RNA", at positions 338 to 795 of the family's 1533-position model. The record is from RNAcentral.